UACGUAGGGUGCGAGCGUUGCCCGGAUUUAUUGGGCGUAAAGGGCGCGUAGGCGGCCACGCACGUCCGUUGUGAAAUCGCCCGGCUCAACUGGGCGGGGUCGGCGGAUACGGCGUGGCUGGAGCAAGCUAGGGGGCAAUGGGACUCCCGGUGUAGUGGUGGAAUGCGUAGAUAUCGGGAAGAACACCAGUGGCGAAGGCGGUUGCCUGGAGCUUUGCUGACGCUGAUGCGCGAAAGCGUGGGGAGCGAUCCGG
Molecule: ribosomal RNA, 253 nt
Filed under: uncultured bacterium
Lineage: Bacteria
Description: partial 16S ribosomal RNA
Rfam family: Bacterial small subunit ribosomal RNA
Source: RNAcentral